RNAcentral lists this ribosomal RNA (2835 nucleotides) under Salmonella enterica subsp. enterica serovar Enteritidis. RNAcentral's name for it is "bacterial LSU rRNA". It matches the Rfam family "Bacterial large subunit ribosomal RNA". The record is from RNAcentral. Lineage: Bacteria; Pseudomonadati; Pseudomonadota; Gammaproteobacteria; Enterobacterales; Enterobacteriaceae.
GGGUUGUGAGGUUAAGCGACUAAGCGUACACGGUGGAUGCCCUGGCAGUCAGAGGCGAUGAAGGGCGUGCUAAUCUGCGAUAAGCGCCGGUAAGGUGAUAUGAACCGUUAUAACCGGCGAUACCCGAAUGGGGAAACCCAGUGUGAUUCGUCACACUAUCAUUAACUGAAUCCAUAGGUUAAUGAGGCGAACCGGGGGAACUGAAACAUCUAAGUACCCCGAGGAAAAGAAAUCAACCGAGAUUCCCCCAGUAGCGGCGAGCGAACGGGGAGGAGCCCAGAGCCUGAAUCAGCAUGUGUGUUAGUGGAAGCGUCUGGAAAGGCGCGCGAUACAGGGUGACAGCCCCGUACACAAAAGCGCAUGUGCUGUGAGCUCGAUGAGUAGGGCGGGACACGUGGUAUCCUGUCUGAAUAUGGGGGGACCAUCCUCCAAGGCUAAAUACUCCUGACUGACCGAUAGUGAACCAGUACCGUGAGGGAAAGGCGAAAAGAACCCCGGCGAGGGGAGUGAAAAAGAACCUGAAACCGUGUACGUACAAGCAGUGGGAGCNNNNNNNNNNNNNNNGGGCGUUAAGUUGCAGGGUAUAGACCCGAAACCCGGUGAUCUAGCCAUGGGCAGGUUGAAGGUUGGGUAACACUAACUGGAGGACCGAACCGACUAAUGUUGAAAAAUUAGCGGAUGACCUGUGGCUGGGGGUGAAAGGCCAAUCAAACCGGGAGAUAGCUGGUUCUCCCCGAAAGCUAUUUAGGUAGCGCCUCGUGAAUUCAUCUCCGGGGGUAGAGCACUGUUUCGGCUAGGGGGCCAUCCCGGCUUACCAACCCGAUGCAAACUGCGAAUACCGGAGAAUGUUAUCACGGGAGACACACGGCGGGUGCUAACGUCCGUCGUGAAGAGGGAAACAACCCAGACCGCCAGCUAAGGUCCCAAAGUCAUGGUUAAGUGGGAAACGAUGUGGGAAGGCCCAGACAGCCAGGAUGUUGGCUUAGAAGCAGCCAUCAUUUAAAGAAAGCGUAAUAGCUCACUGGUCGAGUCGGCCUGCGCGGAAGAUGUAACGGGGCUAAACCAUGCACCGAAGCUGCGGCAGCGACACUGUGUGUUGUUGGGUAGGGGAGCGUUCUGUAAGCCUGUGAAGGUGUGUCGUGAGGCAUGCUGGAGGUAUCAGAAGUGCGAAUGCUGACAUAAGUAACGAUAAAGCGGGUGAAAAGCCCGCUCGCCGGAAGACCAAGGGUUCCUGUCCAACGUUAAUCGGGGCAGGGUGAGUCGACCCCUAAGGCGAGGCCGAAAGGCGUAGUCGAUGGGAAACGGGUUAAUAUUCCCGUACUUGGUGUUACUGCGAAGGGGGGACGGAGAAGGCUAUGUUGGCCGGGCGACGGUUGUCCCGGUUUAAGCGUGUAGGUGUGUGUUCCAGGUAAAUCCGGUUCACUUUAACACUGAGGCGUGACGACGAGGCACUACGGUGCUGAAGCAACAAAUGCCCUGCUUCCAGGAAAAGCCUCUAAGCAUCAGGUAACAUCAAAUCGUACCCCAAACCGACACAGGUGGUCAGGUAGAGAAUACCAAGGCGCUUGAGAGAACUCGGGUGAAGGAACUAGGCAAAAUGGUGCCGUAACUUCGGGAGAAGGCACGCUGACACGUAGGUGAAGUGAUUUACUCAUGGAGCUGAAGUCAGUCGAAGAUACCAGCUGGCUGCAACUGUUUAUUAAAAACACAGCACUGUGCAAACACGAAAGUGGACGUAUACGGUGUGACGCCUGCCCGGUGCCGGAAGGUUAAUUGAUGGGGUCAGCGCAAGCGAAGCUCCUGAUCGAAGCCCCGGUAAACGGCGGCCGUAACUAUAACGGUCCUAAGGUAGCGAAAUUCCUUGUCGGGUAAGUUCCGACCUGCACGAAUGGCGUAAUGAUGGCCAGGCUGUCUCCACCCGAGACUCAGUGAAAUUGAACUCGCUGUGAAGAUGCAGUGUACCCGCGGCAAGACGGAAAGACCCCGUGAACCUUUACUAUAGCUUGACACUGAACAUUGAGCCUUGAUGUGUAGGAUAGGUGGGAGGCUUUGAAGUGUGGACGCCAGUCUGCAUGGAGCCGACCUUGAAAUACCACCCUUUAAUGUUUGAUGUUCUAACGUGGACCCGUUACCCGGGUUGCGGACAGUGUCUGGUGGGUAGUUUGACUGGGGCGGUCUCCUCCUAAAGAGUAACGGAGGAGCACGAAGGUUGGCUAAUCCUGGUCGGACAUCAGGAGGUUAGUGCAAUGGCAUAAGCCAGCUUGACUGCGAGCGUGACGGCGCGAGCAGGUGCGAAAGCAGGUCAUAGUGAUCCGGUGGUUCUGAAUGGAAGGGCCAUCGCUCAACGGAUAAAAGGUACUCCGGGGAUAACAGGCUGAUACCGCCCAAGAGUUCAUAUCGACGGCGGUGUUUGGCACCUCGAUGUCGGCUCAUCACAUCCUGGGGCUGAAGUAGGUCCCAAGGGUAUGGCUGUUCGCCAUUUAAAGUGGUACGCGAGCUGGGUUUAGAACGUCGUGAGACAGUUCGGUCCCUAUCUGCCGUGGGCGCUGGAGAACUGAGGGGGGCUGCUCCUAGUACGAGAGGACCGGAGUGGACGCAUCACUGGUGUUCGGGUUGUCAUGCCAAUGGCACUGCCCGGUAGCUAAAUGCGGAAGAGAUAAGUGCUGAAAGCAUCUAAGCACGAAACUUGCCCCGAGAUGAGUUCUCCCUGAGACUUAGAGUCUCCUGAAGGAACGUUGAAGACGACGACGUUGAUAGGCCGGGUGUGUAAGCGCAGCGAUGCGUUGAGCUAACCGGUACUAAUGAACCGUGAGGCUUAACCUUACAACGCCGAAG